Molecule: ribosomal RNA, 253 nt
Filed under: uncultured bacterium
Lineage: Bacteria
Description: partial 16S ribosomal RNA
Rfam family: Bacterial small subunit ribosomal RNA
Source: RNAcentral
UACGAAGGGUGCAAGCGUUACUCGGAAUUACUGGGCGUAAAGAGCGCGCAGGCGGUCGUUCAAGUCGAGUGUGAAAGCCCCCGGCUCAACUGGGGAGGGUCACUUGAUACUGAUCGACUGGAAGGCAGGAGAGGGAAGCGGAAUUCCCGGUGUAGUGGUGAAAUGCGUAGAUAUCGGGAGGAACACCAGUGGCGAAGGCGGCUUCCUGGCCUGUUCUUGACGCUGAGGCGCGAAAGCUAGGGGAGCAAACGGG